CCAGGAAAUCGAUAUGGCUUAUACCGCUCAUGCACGGGUUCCCCAAUGCGACCUAGGGGCAAGACGUUGGUUUAGGCAAGAAGAAGUCAUCCACAAACGGUAAAGUGUGAAGACGCGAUAUGUCCCUUCGGAAAAGUUCGUUAUGAAACGCUGAAACGGCCAUUUUGGCGGCGCAGAGCCGGAACAGAUGACACGCAUGCCUUAAAAGUAUUGUUUAUAUUGCUUUGCUGAGGAAUCCCUCCUAUUUUUGCGUGUACGCGCCUUCAGUCAUACAAGAUUAAUGUAUUGCUAUGGAUGUCAAUUAUGGUACAACACACGAGCCGUCCGUAUACGACCGUAUAUGUCACGACUCCAUUGCGCCUGAUGAAAACAAAUCAAUGUAUUGUUAAUCCAUUUCUAAAAAAAGUAAAUCUCUGGCUGCUUUUUCUUUUUACGGUAACAGGUUCUUAUCCUUCUGCACAAAGGUGAAACCUCACGGACGUUUUCCGAACAUACCCCUGAUUGCAUGUUUCUGGAGUGUCGUUUGAUUAAGUAUCCUUAGAGCACGCAUUCAUCAACUGUUUCCUGGUAAACCUCUUCCU
RNAcentral lists this long non-coding RNA (581 nucleotides) under Volvox carteri. Its description in RNAcentral is "long non-coding RNA (VCAR_LNC002353)". Lineage: Eukaryota; Viridiplantae; Chlorophyta; Chlorophyceae; Chlamydomonadales; Volvocaceae. The record is from RNAcentral.